AUUAAACCAUGGUUGAAAACUUCAAGAUAAGAUGCGAUUCUUAGAAGCAGCGAAAUAAAAAACAGAUUAUGUUAGAUUACACUUUAUAUUAUCUGCUGUGACAGUUACAGAAAUAUUAGUAAAAGGUCAAUCAAAUCAAGUCUUGUUGUGGUUGUUAAAAUGAAUAAACUUAUAAUAGAUGUAGUAAGAAAUUUUUAUAUCUAGGGAAACAUACGAAUUAAGUUUAAUAUACACCGUCAUCAUUAAACAUCUAUGAAAUAUGUUUUUGAAUUACAAUAAUAAGAGCCAUGUACAUUCUUAAAAUAUUUUGGACAAAGGAAUAGUACAAUAGUAAAGUUGCUUUUCCCUCUUGGGUAAUCACUAUGUAGAAGCAAUAUGAUGUGUUCCAGUGAAUCCUCUAAAUUUCCAGAAGGAACGAAGUCAUUUACCUCUUGUCUUCAUUAGGUAGCAGCACAUUAUAGCAUCAUGAACACUAGGGACCAAUAAUCAAUGGCUCUUGUCAGUAUAGUAACUCCUUUCUUUGUCUGCCAGUCUGCCAGCAUGAAGAUCCCAAAAUGACCAUGCAGCUGCUCAGUUUGGAUUUGGUGGAACCUUUAACAAGGAUGCUGGUAGAAUAGCUUUCCCCACCCCUACUCCAGGAACUGGGACCUUUAGUCCAGAAAAGCCUAAAGUUGUAGUAAUGAAAUCACUAAUUCUCCCACAGAUAACUGCAAAUUAUAAUUAGAAAUGCUAAUCCUAAUUUCACCAUUUCAGUCCCAGACUCAUGUUUUCUAACUGCUAAGUACACAGUCUUAUAUAAUGGCCAUUAGUUAAAUAAUAUACUUUACCUUGAAGCCUUGAAGGACAAUGUCCCCAUCUCAGAGAUGUCACUUCCAAGUUGGUGCUUAGCUCUGCCCUCAGGAGACCACAUGAUGUAUGGUAGAAACAGUACAUUCCUUGGUUAUUUAUCAUUGUCACCCCUCCUUCUAAAAGUGUGACCCUUGGUCCUAGGAGAUGUUUUUCAAGAUUUAUGAACCUUUGAGUGGUGGUGCUUUGCAAGAUGCUGUGGGAAAGACAGAGAGUUCUAUGCCAAGAAUAAUUCAAGUCGGGGCAAAUCACUACUCCUUUUAGUAGAAUGCUGACUUGGUUUAUGUAUCUAUCUCUUUCCCACACCAUCUAUGCCUCAGAGAAAUCUUCACAAACUCAGCUUCAAGGAUGGGUCAGAGCCUUGGAAACUGCAUCUGCCUGGCUGUCAUUUUCUGCAAGUGCUGGUGUAAUUUCAAGAUUUGCUUGCCAAAUGCAUUAUAGCAUACUGGACAAAAACAAGGACUGCUGGGAUGAAAUUGAGAUUAUGAAGCUCUUGAGGUAAGAACAUUGGUCACAAAUCGAUGAAACUAAUUGUAAUCUGUUUUCAACCUCUUCAGAGUUGGGCCUUUUGCAUCACAUAAUUGUGUUGAGCUCAAAAAGAGUA
This 1450-nucleotide long non-coding RNA is filed under the name Homo sapiens (human). RNAcentral describes it as "HSALNT0337491". Lineage: Eukaryota; Metazoa; Chordata; Mammalia; Primates; Hominidae. The record is from RNAcentral.